Molecule: ribosomal RNA, 465 nt
Filed under: Vreelandella stevensii
Lineage: Bacteria; Pseudomonadati; Pseudomonadota; Gammaproteobacteria; Oceanospirillales; Halomonadaceae
Description: partial 16S ribosomal RNA
Rfam family: Bacterial small subunit ribosomal RNA
Source: RNAcentral
CCUACGGGUGGCUGCAGUGGGGAAUAUUGGACAAUGGGCGAAAGCCUGAUCCAGCCAUGCCGCGUGUGUGAAGAAGGCCUUCGGGUUGUAAAGCACUUUCAGUGGGGAAGAAAGCCUUGGGGCUAAUACCCUCGAGGAAGGACAUCACCCACAGAAGAAGCACCGGCUAACUCCGUGCCAGCAGCCGCGGUAAUACGGAGGGUGCGAGCGUUAAUCGGAAUUACUGGGCGGAAAGCGCGCGUAGGCGGUCUGAUAAGCCGGUUGUGAAAGCCCCGGGCUCAACCUGGGAACGGCAUCCGGAACUGUCAGGCUAGAGUGCAGGAGAGGAAGGUAGAAUUCCCGGUGUAGCGGUGAAAUGCGUAGAGAUCUGGAGGAAUACCAGUGGCGAAGGCGGCCUUCUGGACUGACACUGACGCUGAGGUGCGAAAGCGUGGGUAGCAAACAGGAUUAGAUACCCCUGUAGUC